AGUGAACGCUGGCGGUAGGCCUAACACAUGCAAGUCGAACGGCAGCACAGUAAGAGCUUGCUCUUACGGGUGGCGAGUGGCGGACGGGUGAGGAAUACAUCGGAAUCUACUUUUUCGUGGGGGAGAACGUAGGGAAACUUACGCUAAUACCGCAUACGACCUACGGGUGAAAGCAGGGGAUCUUCGGACCUUGCGCGAUUGAAUGAGCCGAUGUCGGAUUAGCUAGUUGGCGGGGUAAAGGCCCACCAAGGCGACGAUCCGUAGCUGGUCUGAGAGGAUGAUCAGCCACACUGGAACUGAGACACGGUCCAGACUCCUACGGGAGGCAGCAGUGGGGAAUAUUGGACAAUGGGCGAAAGCCUGAUCCAGCCAUACCGCGUGGGUGAAGAAGGCCUUCGGGUUGUAAAGCCCUUUUGUUGGGAAAGAAAAGCAGCAGGUUAAUACCCCGCUGUUCUGACGGUACCCAAAGAAUAAGCACCGGCUAACUUCGUG
Molecule: ribosomal RNA, 492 nt
Filed under: uncultured bacterium
Lineage: Bacteria
Description: partial 16S ribosomal RNA
Rfam family: Bacterial small subunit ribosomal RNA
Source: RNAcentral